This 253-nucleotide ribosomal RNA is filed under the name uncultured prokaryote. RNAcentral describes it as "partial 16S ribosomal RNA". It matches the Rfam family "Bacterial small subunit ribosomal RNA", at positions 524 to 776 of the family's 1533-position model. The record is from RNAcentral.
UACGUAGGCAGCAAGCGUUGUUCGGAAUUACUGGGCGUAAAGAGUGUGUAGGCGGUUCUCUAAGUUCCGUGUGAAAUCUCCCGGGUUAACUGGGAGGGUGCGCGGAAGACUGGAGGGCUGGAGUAUGGGAGAGGAAAGCGGAAUUCCUGGUGUAGCGGUGAAAUGCGUAGAUAUCAGGAGGAACACCGGUGGUGUAGACGGCUUUCUGGACCGUAACUGACGCUGAGGCGCGAAAGCUAGGGGAGCAAACGGG